UACAGAGGGUGCGAGCGUUAAUCGGAAUUACUGGGCGUAAAGCGCGCGUAGGCGGUUUUGUAAGUUGGAUGUGAAAUCCCCGAGCUUAACUUGGGCACUGCAUUCAAAACUGCAAGACUAGAGUAUGGGAGAGGAUGGUAGAAUUCCAGGUGUAGCGGUGAAAUGCGUAGAGAUCUGGAGGAAUACCGAUGGCGAAGGCAGCCAUCUGGCCUAAUACUGACGCUGAGGUGCGAAAGCAUGGGGAGCAAACAGG
This 253-nucleotide ribosomal RNA is filed under the name uncultured bacterium. RNAcentral describes it as "partial 16S ribosomal RNA". It matches the Rfam family "Bacterial small subunit ribosomal RNA", at positions 524 to 776 of the family's 1533-position model. The record is from RNAcentral.